Cavia porcellus (domestic guinea pig) is the source of this 699-nucleotide long non-coding RNA. RefSeq lists it as uncharacterized. The record is from RefSeq and is a predicted model, not a curated record. The transcript is spliced from 3 exons. NCBI's taxonomy places the organism in Eukaryota, Metazoa, Chordata, Mammalia, Rodentia, Caviidae.
GGCCCAUUUGUUUUAAAGUGUUUUUUUGUUAUUCUUCUUAAUUUUUAAAAAUUUCCAGUUUUGCUUCAUUAAUGAUUCUUAGCUGAAGCUAAGUUGUGAUCAGAGAAGAUACUUUUUAUGAUUUCCUGAGAUGCAUUUUUUUUGGCUGAACAUCUGGUGUACCCUUGGGAAUGCUGCACAUGAACUUCAGAAGAAGGCAUAUCCUGCUGUUGCUCAGUGGAGGUGUUUGGUUUGCCUGCCCUUGCCCAAGGUGAUUUCAACUAGUAAACUGACAGUUGCUGUCCUGAGAAAGUUUGGAGGUCCCAGGGAUCGAACUCACGACCACAGGCCUGCAAGGGAGGUGCUUCUGCUGCUGAGCUAAAUCCCCAGCCCCUUUAACAGAAAUUUUUAAAAGUGAUUUUAUUUAGUAAAGGCCAAUCCCAUUUUCUAUUUCAUUUUGUGAAUAUUUUGGACACAUUUUGCCUUUAAAUAAAGUUUUAAAAUUUCAUGUAUGUGGUCAAAUUUAUUCUUUUAUUAUUCUUUUAAUGAUUGUAAGAUUUGUAAUGAUGUUUUCUUUUUUUUCCUGAUACUUAUAUUUCCCAUUUCCUUUCUUCUCAAUCAUUAGUGCUAGAGCUUAUCAGUUUUAUUUUUAACUUUCAAAGAAUCACCUCCUGGUUUUAUUAAUGUUCUCUAUUAUCUAUUUUCCUAUUUCAUUGACUU